This 5299-nucleotide long non-coding RNA is filed under the name Xyrichtys novacula (pearly razorfish). Lineage: Eukaryota; Metazoa; Chordata; Actinopteri; Labriformes; Labridae. The record is from RNAcentral.
UUGCUUUGGUGUUCAUAUGAUAUAAUGUUUCACAAGAAGGCGCCCAGUGUGAGCAGCAGGCGAGACAGUGAGCGGUCCAGCAUGUUGUUUUUUACAUGAGAGGAAUGAAUCAGGACUGAAGAAGAAAAAGACGAGCCCUGACGCAAGAGAGAGAGGGAGAGGGAGACUAUGAUGUGUUGCCAUGGUUAUGCAGACGCUGUGCAAAGUAUCGACAAACAUGCACGUUAGGCAAAAGAAUCAGUAUGAGGAGCAAAAAUGCACCUGAUGAUAAUUUGUUUGCUGAAAAUAUUGUUCAAUGUUGGAAAAAUACAAGAAUGGAUGAUCCAAGCCUCCACCCAGCUGCCCCCCCACUCUAUGCAUCUGCCCCUGUGGUCAAGGACACCCAUAUCAGUGGACGUCAGGGUGGGCCCAAUCCAUCAGAGAGCUGUGGGUAAUGGAAUCAACCGGUGACAAUGAUCAUCAGCACCGCAAACAAUGGCCCAUAAACAUCCCCUGACAAGUGGUCAAAUGCAGGCGAGGCAGGGUGGGGGUUGGGCAGAGGAGGGUAUGAGGGAUUGUUUGCAGCCAUGAGAGUGUGUUUAUGUCUGCAGACACGUUUGUGAGUCAGUCAGACUGGCUGUAACACAAGGCAAAGCGAUGUGGCGAAGUAGCUACGAAGAAAGACAUCUGGAUGUGCUACCUCUGGAAACAAAUGUCCUUCAUAGGUCAGAGUUCAGGCAUGCCGCAGCUCAUUGUUGAGAGUUUACUUUCCCUCACUUCUCUUUAUUGUUUUCUUUAAUAUGGGUUUUAUAUCAGAUCUCCCGGAGUGAGGGUGAAAGAAAUUGCAGAGAAAGAUUUAUGUCUGCACCUUUACCUUUUCUUAUUCAGUGUAGGAAAUUACAAAACGGAUAGACUUGAACCCGGAUUAAACACUCCUUGUUCAAGCCUAAAACCGCUUGCUUUUGCUGAAAUAGUAAAGUAAGAGUCUCUUUUGUCAGCGCUAAAUAAAUAAAAAAACCCAAUUAGAGAGAAGUUACAGAUUUCAAAGAAAGCAGGAAGGAGACUUUUCUCUCUUUUUUUUUUCAUGCCGAGUUUCCAUCGCAAGAAGUAGUUGUUGCUUUUGUCAAGCCUGGUGUUUCGUCACUCCAGUUUACUUGUCAGCUGGUUUCCGUCUCUACAACACACACACACACACGCACGCACACAUUUAAUUAGCCAUCAUUUGUCUCAGCUUUCCCUCUUUUUCCACUGUUUAUCCAAACGUCAGGAAUGACACGGGCCAAUUAGUGCAAUGAAAUAGUUUAACCCUCUCUAACACUUGGAACAGUGAAAACCAACGGGGAUAUUUGCUCACAGCUCAAGGACGUGUUUGUGUGUGUGUGUGUGUGUGUGUGUGUCGGUGUUUGUGUGUGCUGAGGUGUGAAAUAGGGGUUCAAACAAAGAGAAAGCACAACUGGAAAAAUUUGGUUUACACUUGAUAUAAACCCACCACAUAUUAAGCCUCACAAGCACAUGUACAAAACCUGUGCAAACCUGUAUAUGUGUGAAAAAAACGGUUCAUUUCAAAACAGUUUUAAAACCUGCUAUUUGAGUACAAAGGUUCAACCAAAGUGCUCUUAAUACUGUUAAGUUGAGCUUUUUUGUUUUUUUGGCACCAGAGGGUCUUUAGUGCUUGUUCCUAAAAAUAAAGAAACCAUAAAAUACAGUUUAUGAAUUCUUACAAAUGCGUUGUAGAUCAUAUAAUUGGUAAUUACCUUGAACUGCUGUCACGUUACAAAUUCGCCUAAAGUCAUGCCAAAGUAUGUUGGAGAGCUGGGCGAUCAAUCGGGUUUCAAUUUCAGGUACGAAUAUAGUCCCCCAUGAUCAGAUUAGGUACCUCCUCCAUUUCUACCUUAACAGCACAGUGUGUUCUCCACCUCUUUCACUUCAGCAUCAUGAGUUCAGAUCAGUGUGCAUCAAAGUUUGGGAGUGUGAGAAAGUUCGUGAUUUAAUUAUGAACUACCAUGCAGCUUCAGGUGGAGAGAGGAGAGGAGCAGGAGGAAGAAGGUGUGUGUCUGAAAAGCCAAGGGAUGAUAGAGAGGCUGGAGCAAUCACAAGCCUGAUUGAGCAAACACUUAACCUGAGUGCAUAUCAUCAUGAAAUAUAAGCUGUGAUGAAAUAUAAUUGGUAGUAGAGCAAAGAUACUUUGGAGUUAAAUUCCUACUUUCUUUUAUUUAGUAUUAUCAUCAAAAUGAAGUCAAAAGCUCUGAAUGAAGUGAAGAAUUGACUCUUGGUCAGUAAUGAUGCAGCCCAAGCAUGCUGUAAGAACCAAAGUGAAUUUUUCUAUACCACUCACAAAUAUUGCUACAUGCUGUCAUAAAACCAUAUAAUUGCGUCUAUAACACUUUAAAUUCAUGCGCCUCUGAUGCAUUGUAAGUGGUGGGUUUUAUAUAAAGUGUUUCUCUGUCAUUCAAUGGCUCAAUAUUAUCCUAUUUCAGGAUCAUCACACAAAAGAAGGCUUUGUUAUUGGCACACAUCACGAGAUGGUGUGAUCCAGAUAAUCAUUAUUUCAUAUUUUGUCAUUAGCAGCGAGCUAAAUUGACCCUGAGGUUGGCGAGCACUUCAGAAACGUAGAAAUCCAGGGCAACAGCUGGAUAAUGGUUGCUGCAGAGUGAUUUACUAAUUGUCUCCAGGAUUCAGAUUAAUAAUUGGCAAAGCUUUAGCACAAGUGCACAUCUAAGUACUCUUUGUCACUCACUUGUAUCUGCAGGAAAAAAAAAAAAAAAGCGGGCUGAGACGAUAUCAUUAACAGUCUCUCCAAAUUGAAACAGUCAUCAAGAGUGUCUUUUAAAUGUCUCCGGGAGCUUCUUCUUUUUCUGUUGAGUGCAAAUGACAUCUCGCUCAUUUUGCUGGUGGCAACAUGACUGAUGUGUUGAAUAAGAAAGUCCGUUUUGACGCGUUUGAAGGCUGCGGGUUUUUUGAAGUAUAUGAUUCUGAAGUGGCGGCAUAUGCUUAGCGAGAUAAGUCAUUUGACACGCAGACAUCACAGCCCUGCAAAUCUUUCGUCUGGCUGCCUUGAGUGUCCACGUCAGGCGCUUUUUCAAGAACACUUUACGACUGUCACAACUGACUGUCAGAGCGCAAACCACACAAGCAAACGAGCCUCAUUUUGAACACAGAUUAAGACAGCUGUCAUAUCAAAAAGUGUAAAUUCAUCCAGACUAAAAAUACACUUAAUUUCAUCUUAGGCGCUUUAAAAAUUAAUUUCCUAUUUAGGCACCAAAGAAUUUUCCUUUUUAGCAUCAGUUUGUUCAUUAGAGUAAUUAAAUUAAGUGCUCAUCCUCGGGAGGGAAUCAAGAUUUAACGCAGGAUUUAUUGAAAGCAACGCAGCAAUAACACAGCCACUCCAGUGAUGGAGAAGCUUCCCCUGCUGAUACUUCUCCCCCUGAAUAAGACAUUUGACUGAGACACCAACACUACCAUGCAGACAGAGUGUGCACACAAGUACGUGCUAACACACACAGAUGGGGUCAGAGCUGCAAACAAAGUCGCUGACAUUGUGGCACUUCUUUGGCAGCGUUGUGCAGGUGUCGUCUGCAAACAGGCUUCUGAAUAAAUGGAUCUGAAAUGAUUUACCUAGGGUAUCUGCCACCUGAGCACAGACACACACACACAACCCAGGCUACUUCCCCUCCUCUGCACAGACGCUGACGCAAACACACACCAAACACUGGGAGGGGAAAAAAAGAGAGGAAUCUAGCAGAGCAGCAUCCUAUUGUGUCGUCCUGACUCACAUUAUCUGACAAAUGCACAGAUUUACCAACGUGAGCUUCAUCCCAGAGGUUACACUCUGCUCCUGUGAUUUGAGCUGAUUUAUACACAUUUGUUUUCAGAUAUAAUGGAAAAUAUGACUGAGGUGGCGCUAAGAAUAGACCAUCCUCUGACCUCAGCGUCUUCAGCUGGCUCUGCAGCAUUAUCAGGUGAAAUAUCCGCUAUUAUACACUAACAGCAAGCGACGGCUCCGCGGCGGCACAGAGGACGAGUGGCUCUGGGCGAGACAUCCGGAUCACAGCCGCUGAUGUCACCUUUAAGCCGUCUGCAAUCAUCCCGGAGAAGGAAACACAACAAUGUGGUUUUUUGGUGAUAAAAUGCAGUGUGUGAGUUCAUAAAUAACACAUAUGUCAACUGUUGUUGUUCAAGCUGAACAUGCAAACAUAAAACCAACCUGAUAUCAAGCUUCGUCUUUGUCUGAUUAUGAACAACAUAUUUUUUGACAUAGACGGUAAAAAUGUGGUGACUUAGAGGGUUUAGACAAAAGGUGAAGUCCAUUUUUGGCCAUUUUUUUAUGAAUGGCUGACUCAUAUUUUUACCUAAAUUUUCCAGCUCCAGAGUAUCGCCUUUAUUUUCCAGUGUGCCUGUUUACAAGCUAAUUUUCUACUUUGACUUUUGAACCUUGACUAUUUUAUUUGAUGGACAGUUGAAAAAUAUUUGGGUGGAAAGAGAAGGGCGUGACAUGCAGCAAAAGGCAGUUAAAGCCUGCCGCCGUCUCUCCUGACUGGAUGCUUGCUUUAACAACACAACAAAUCUGGCGCCACACAAACAAAACUAUAAAUUUCAUCAGAUUAGUGCGGCUUUCAUGUGAGUGUGCAUGAGUCAUUUUGCAACCACAGUUUAUUUUAUGUUUAACCUUUUUUAAACAGGUGCUAAAGCCCGUUCAACUACCCUGAAUAAGUUUACCCUCCUGAGAAAUAAGGCUGGUGCAGAAAUGCUACACUGCAGUUCCUUGAGGGUCCACUUGAGGCUGCACCAAAUAAAAAUCAGAAAAGCUGAAUGGAAGAGCGUCUUCAGUGUAAGUGUUUUUUUUCACAGCGUAGUGACACAACCCACGGUCCACAUGAUCUGUUUACCUGAUCAAAACAAACCGUGUUAGCAACUGAAGGGGCGGCUGAGCUGAAAUAACAAACUCUAUACACAUCACUGUGUCCGCCGGUUAUUUUAGACUUUUGUUUCUUAUUAUUAUGCACCACUGAGAUGCUAAAAUAAGAAAACUCCAAAUGCAUCAGUGAUUGGUAACAUCAUAGAGCAUGUAUGUGCAUCUGCAAACCAGUGUUUAAGGUGUGUUUGGGUCAGAGUCUCCUUAAAAUUAGCUUGAUUAAGAGGCAGAAUUGGCCCUAUCUGCAGAAAACUGUAGCAUAUCUAGCAUCCUGUUUCUGCCUGCAGUUUCUCAGUAAAGUGUUUAAAAAUAUCAAAUCAGUUUAGUUUAUCAUGAAAGUUGUAGAGUAAGGUGCAGAAUUACUUAAGAUGAAAGAAAUAAGUAUAAAAAAGGGGGUGUUCUUUAUUC